Molecule: long non-coding RNA, 736 nt
Filed under: Homo sapiens (human)
Lineage: Eukaryota; Metazoa; Chordata; Mammalia; Primates; Hominidae
Description: HSALNT0254797
Source: RNAcentral
CCGACACCUUCUUCCCAGUGCGGCCCGGGCUGCGGCCCCGGGUCCGAGGAGGCCCGGGGAGACCCGGAGGAGGUCAGAAGGCCUUCAGGGUCCCCGGGAUGGGGUGGAAACUGAGACCCAGAGAGCCGUGACUUGACUGAUCCCACAGCCAGGAAAUGGUGGAGCCUGGAUUUGAACCCCAGCUUUUAAGAAGAAGGUGCCACUGUCCUGGAAGAACUCUCAGGACAGCAUUAGUGUCUCAGGGAUCCCCCUAAUCGGAGGGGCCUUAAGCCUAAUCAUGAUUGUCACUGAAGAUCCAGGAGGGCUUCCUGGAGGAGGAGGCAGCUCCAUUCUGAAAUGCCAAGGGUACAGCUUUAUUGGGACAGCCAGUGUCUCUGAAUAUGUAGGUUUUGCACAGAGCUUGUACUGCCCCAGGGCCUGUACACUGCCUGUCCCCUCUGCCUUGUGCACUCUUUCCCUAGAUGUCCAAAUGGCUCCUUUCCUCACCUACCCCAAAUCUCAAUUCCAGUGUUUCCCCAGCCUCCCCUCAUUUCAGUAAUCACUCUGCAGUGAGCUAGGAUUGCGCCACUGCACUCCAGCUUGGAUAAGAGAACAAGACCCUGUCUCUUAACUAAAUACAUAAAUAAAAAUAAUUCCCCUCUUCAUCCCUCUUUACCCUGUUUUGAUGGUUUUGUUCAACUUUUCACCAAUAGGACUUUCUCUUAUGCAUUUACUCGUUUCUCUUCCAAUCCCUCCC